CACAGACAUACAAACACAUAUCAGUGACCUUGACCUAACUUGACCUGAAAUGGCCUCAGCCAGCCAAAACCUAGUCGGAUAGUGUAACAAAGAGGUUCUUGCUGGCUUGGCACCACAAUACGUCAGCGUCAUCGGUAUAUGAUAAGCAGCGCACUUGAUAUCCAACGGUGACCCCAAACAGCAACAUUUUUUGUUUGACCUGACCUGGAAGGUCACUGACUGACCUGAGAAGGUAAAACUGUGUAUCAUUGGAUUCGUCUCUUCCCAAAAAAAUCUUUUUAGUCUUUACCGCGAAGCUCUAUCUCCAGCAGGAACGAAAUGGCGCGGGGGUGGCAACCCCCCCCCCCCCCCAUGUGCGUUCUAGGAUGGGAAAGUGGCAUGUGCGGGCGAGGGUUAAAUUGCGUAGUUGAAUUCACAUGCUGAACGAACUUCAUCAUCGGAACUUGUAGAUCGUAUAACAAAAUGUGACCCGGGUUGCAAUGUACAGUACAUUCUAGGUAUGUCAAGGCGUUAGUGUGACUGGUUAGUCAAUCUGGUUGUGAAUUUAUCGUUGGUGGGUCCAGUGAAUAAUUAUCAGCUUGUUUACUUUGUGUCUCUUGUUCUGGUGUAAUUGCCUGCAUUAUCUCUAAGUCAUUCGUUCCAUAGAUAUUUUAUCUACAUGAAGAUGCCCAUCCAAUGUCGAAACACUUUAUUUUCUGCCGUCUGACUGCUUUACACUCGUGAUCGAUGGUAUCAGCAUUCUCCUUGGUAGAAAACGAGUAAAAUGAGAUGUUCAAAGGUCAUCGACCAUCACUGUCGUCAAAAUAUUUCAGUAAAGUCGUACCCUAUUUCGUUUUCGGAAACCUCCUUCGGGGAAAUAAAUCCAAAGUAAAGCUAAAUUUGUCAGUUAAAAGUCGUGAAAUCAAGCUCGCACGAUGUUUCAGCUCACAUUCCCUAACUUGAAUUCCUCCAAUGAAACGGCAGGAUAAUAAGCGUCAGGGCAUCUCUAUGUAUAUAAGACCUCUAUGAUCCGUUCUACAUGAAUGGAAAGAUGUGUUCUGGAACAAACGUUGAUAUUAUAUCUCUUGAUUCACAGGCAUGCACAUUGACCCAGCAGUGGUGCAAGAAUGCGAAUGGCAAGCUCUGCACUGAUUCCUCCGUUUUUAGCAUUAGUGUUUCGCGUAACUUUCCGUUAAACGGACGGGGCCGCCGCCGGCCCCGGCCGCCGCCGUGCGAGUCGGCCGCCGCGCCGCUACGGACGACUGGCACACGCCACAAGUGUGAUGGAUUUUCGGCCAACGCGGCGACACCGGCGUAGCGUUCAAUUGGCCGCGCUGCCCUGACGCUCCGGUGACGGACAGGUGGACCGAGGGCGCCGCCCGCCCAUCCCUCCGGACCAGGCCAGGCCGGCCGAUCUGAGGGAGGUAGGGAGGAGCCGCGUGGCUGGCCGAAUGGACGGCCGCGCCGGGCCAUUGUCACUGAUUGUUGGCCAUUGUCACUGAUUGUUCAUUGCCGCACCGAGGUCCGGCGAUGUCACCGGAAUGCCGCCACUGGUUUGAGUUUCCGCGAAACCGGCUUGCCCAGAGAUGUUUGUCACUGGCAUUGCUAUGUGCUAUUUGUGAUGUUCAUAUAUACCAUUCCCGUUACGGAGUACAUAUCUUGUUUUGAACGUUAAGUUCCGAUAUACGAACUGGCCGUCUGAAAAAGAGCCGCACGUGCACGAUGCUUGUAGAUAUUCCUGACGACCACGAACCGACCACGAAUCAGAACUGCGCCUCUCGUAAUGGGAGUGCGAGUAGUUGUUGCGAGUUAGAGCUCCUUGGCGAGUGGCUGACUCUGAACUGACUGACUAAACACCGGUUAGCUGUUUCACCAGCAGUCCCAGUGGAGGGAAGUAGGCCCAGGCGAGCAGGGUGUCGCAGCGUAAGUCCGACGAUGGCGGCGCAGUAGUCGAAUGGCGUCCACAUUUAGCCGACGAAGGCUGCGCUGAGCGCCAUACCCGCCUCACCUUAUCUCCGAGUCACGUGUUCAUGACUGACACGGGCAACCAUACGGCCCGUCGUUGCCCACGCGCACCCCAGACGGGGCCGCCAGUCGCGGCCCCGGACACGUCAGUCCCCAGAUCUGCAGUGAUGUCGCCCGGCUCUGACGAUGGCGCACAGCCGCCGUGUCCGCGGUCUCCGUCGCCGCCGCGGUAUGCGGCGCUGGGCGGCGACUCGUACAUGUCGCGGUCUCGCCAUUGGGGGCCGAACGAUUCGCGGCUCCCGCCGACCCCGCCGGCGACGAGUUUCCUCCGGCGAGUCCUGCGCCGUCUGGCGUGGUCGACGCUGCCCGGGAGGUUCCUGGCUGGCAAGCUGCUGCUGUGUCUACCGACGCACAGAGUUUUGUCGUGGCUGUGCUGUCCGCGGCCGUGCUCCACGGUUGCGACGUCUGCGGCCAAGCUGCCCGCUGCUGAGCUCCGCGGCCGAGCUGCCAGCGGCCGUGCUCUGCGGCCGUGCUCUGCGGUCGUGCUCUGCGGCCGUGCUUCCCGUGGCUGGGCCCUCCGUGGUCCCGUGAUCGUGGCCGCGGCGAGGGUGCCGCGACCUGCGCGAUGCCGUGCGCUGCAGUGAUGGCGCCGCGCACUGUGCAGUGAUUUUGCCGAGCGCUGCGUACGCGGUGGGUGCCGCGCGCCGCGCUGUUGAGCGUGCCGUAUUCGGACGGUGGCUGCCGCGCGCAGCGUGGUGAUUGCUGCGCUCUGCCAUGAGUGCCGCUCACUGCCGUGGCCUGAGUGCCGCGCUCGGACGGAGUGCCACGCGCCGUUGUGUUGCGUCGCCUUCUGCCUUUUGAUAUGUGCUAUCUCCGAAUUUAAUGUUGCUUGUUGCCGAUGUUCGCUUCUUUUCGUUAAGAGGGUCGGGUAUAGUCGGUCGAUUUAUUCGCACCGUUUGAUUUCGUACCGGCUUCUCUUCUGUUUCUUAUUGUUUUCUGCGAUGUCACUUGUCCGAUUUUAUAUCUGAUUAAUUCACGUCACUUAAGUAUUUAUUUUAUAUUGUCAUAAUAACUUACGGCGCUGUUCCUUUAUUUUCUGUUUAGUUGCAGCCCUAGUACCUUAAUUUCCGAUGUCUCUUCGGUUUGUUGUCGCUCGCAUGUUCAGAGAGUCCUGGUUGGCCGGCGCGAGCGGCGGUUGUGGAAUACAAGCUCGUCUGUGAA
Molecule: long non-coding RNA, 3165 nt
Filed under: Amphibalanus amphitrite
Lineage: Eukaryota; Metazoa; Arthropoda; Thecostraca; Balanomorpha; Balanidae
Description: uncharacterized LOC122376715
Source: RNAcentral